This 600-nucleotide ribosomal RNA is filed under the name uncultured marine bacterium. RNAcentral describes it as "bacterial SSU rRNA". It matches the Rfam family "Bacterial small subunit ribosomal RNA", at positions 8 to 656 of the family's 1533-position model. The record is from RNAcentral.
AGAGUUUGAUCCUGGCUCAGAACGAACGCUGGCGGCAGGCCUAACACAUGCAAGUCGAGCGCGCCUUCGGGCGAGCGGCGGACGGGUUAGUAACGCGUGGGAACGUGCCCAGAUCUACGGAAUAGCCACUGGAAACGGUGAGUAAUACCGUAUACGCCCUUCGGGGGAAAGAUUUAUCGGAGAAGGAUCGGCCCGCGUUAGAUUAGACAGUUGGUGGGGUAACGGCCUACCAAGUCUACGAUCUACAGCUGGUUUUAGAGGAUGAUCAGCAACACUGGGACUGAGACACGGCCCAGACUCCUACGGGAGGCAGCAGUGGGGAAUCUUAGACAAUGGGCGCAAGCCUGAUCUAGCCAUGCCGCGUGUGUGAUGAAGGUCUUAGGAUCGUAAAGCACUUUCGCCAGGGAUGAUAAUGACAGUACCUGGUAAAGAAACCCCGGCUAACUCCGUGCCAGCAGCCGCGGUAAUACGGAGGGGGUUAGCGUUGUUCGGAAUUACUGGGCGUAAAGCGCGCGUAGGCGGAUUGGAAAGUUGGGGGUGAAAUCCCGGGGCUCAACCCCGGAACUGCCUCCAAAACUAUCAGUCUAGAGUUCGAGAGAG